CUCAGUGUGUGGGAUGUUGCUAUGAGCUACGAGCUGAAAAUAUUUACAAACAAUCGGUUUCAGUGCGUUGAGCUUCAUUUUUCUGUUUUCAGAGAGGGAUUAAUUUUAUCAUUUCGUCACUGCCUUCAGAAAGAAAACAUCAAAUCAAUUCUCGGUUUAAUCUCUAAUUGUGAUCAUACACUCUGAAAUAAAGGGUAGUUUGGACGUUAGUGACAGCAACACCGGAAAUCACUUUGCGCAUGCGUGUUAGGGUUAGGUUGGGUAUUAACACAAAAAAUAACGAAGAAACGUAUUUUAUGGUUACUUUUGUCGAUUUGAAGCCUUUUAAUAUGAUUUUAUUGUUUCCUCACGCACUCUCCUUGAACGAUAACCUCGCGAGAUUUCGUCAACAAAUGGACUUUUCCUUGUUGCUGAUAUGGUACCACGUGAGAGUAGCCGACAUGUUUUAUGUCUUUAUUAUAUUUAACCUGGAAAGAAUAAAUAGGGCAGCUUUAAAACAUAUUUUAAAGUACUUUGCUGUUUUUUAAAUAUAUUUAUUGCUGCAUUUACUCAUUUUAUAAUUACAGGCAUUUAUUUAAUGUGUGUAUGUAUGUCUAAACUUGUUUUUCAAUAAUAUUGGUGAUUUCUACAUAGACCAUUACCCGUAAGACACUUCAAAUCAAACAUCUGUCUGAAGGGACGUGGAGCUCAGAGACUGUGGUCUCCUCAAAGUCAUACUGCCCCCUGCUGUUCAGCUAAAUGUAGUGUAAAUGCCAAAUAUGGCACUCUGCCUUUCAUGACUGAAUCCCAAAUGGCUCCAUGGGAGCAGGAAGAUGGUGUAAUCUGCUUUAUCCUUCUACGGGGUCACAGGCAAGCUGGAGCCUAUCCCAGCUGACUACAGGCGAAAGGUGGGGUACACCCUGGACAAGUCGCCAGGUCAUCACAGGGCUGACACAUUAGUCUGGCUAACGCGACUUCAAAGCUCUGCGAGCAUUUGGUCUGGCAAAGAUAUUAAGCCCAACCAUUUCCCAAAGCGCGUGGUUGACCCGCCUCCCUGAAAUGCCUCAGUUUGCUACUGGUCGAAGCCAGAAAAGGCUGUGACGAAGCUUAAACCAAUCACAUCACUCUUUCCUCUGACGUAUGUGACGCGACGGAAACUGCUUGAGUAACAGGAAGAAGAUAAAUACCUCCAGGGCUGCUCUUUGCUCUGUUUUCAAUGAGAACUUCCUGUUGAAUGCUUUCAAUACAGCAUCUACCGCUGUGUCAAAGGCUUGCCGCUGCUCCAUGUUCGUAAUGUUUCUAGUGAAUGAAGCGCUUCCGGCAUAGAUUCUGUAAACAAUCUAUGGCUUCCGGUCACAGUUCUACUACGUCACUGCCUUGAACACGCCUCUACCCAGGGCCGUUGGAGAUGCUCAAAGUUGAUUGGCUCCCGAUUUUUUGGGAGCUUGGAAGAGCUGGAGAUAGCUUGCCUUGCCAGACUAAGCUCGCAACAGGCCCUCAUGUUGCAUCACACUUAGGAUGGGCGGGCCCAGGCUACUGACACAUAGACACAGACAACCAUUCACACUCACAUUCACACCUACGGUCAAUUUAGAGUCACCAGUUAACCUAACCUGCAUGUCUUUGGACUGUGGGGGAAACCGGAGCACCCAGAGGAAACCCACGCAGACACGGGGAGAACAUGCAAACUCUGCACAGAAAGGCCCUCGCCGGCCACAGGGCUCGAACCCGGACCUUCUUGCUGUGAGGCGGCAGCGCUAACCACUACACCACCGUGCCACCAUGCAUGGUUCUAUGUUUAUCAUUUUUGCUUUCCUCAGUAACAACAAUUACAGUGUAUAAAUUUACAAAUAAAUCAUUCACAUUUCA
Neoarius graeffei (lesser salmon catfish) is the source of this 1848-nucleotide long non-coding RNA. RefSeq lists it as uncharacterized. The transcript is spliced from 2 exons. Lineage: Eukaryota; Metazoa; Chordata; Actinopteri; Siluriformes; Ariidae. The record is from RefSeq and is a predicted model, not a curated record.